AUUGAACGCUGGCGGCAGGCUUAACACAUGCAAGUCGAGCGGAGCGAGGGUGCUUGCACCUUAGCUUAGCGGCGGACGGGUGAGUAAUGCUUAGGAAUCUGCCUAUUAGUGGGGGACAACAUUCCGAAAGGAAUGCUAAUACCGCAUACGCCCUACGGGGCAAAGCAGGGGAUCUUCGGACCUCGCGCUAAUAGAUGAGCCUAAGUCGGAUUAGCUAGUUGGUGGGGUAACGGCCUACCAAGGCGACGAUCUGUAGCGGGUCUGAGAGGAUGAUCCGCCACACUGGGACUGAGACACGGCCCAGACUCCUACGGGAGGCAGCAGUGGGGAAUAUUGGACAAUGGGCGGAAGCCUGAUCCAGCCAUGCCGCGUGUGUGAAGAAGGCCUUUUGGUUGUAAAGCACUUUAAGCGAGGAGGAGGCUACUUAGAUUAAUACUCUGGGAUAGUGGACGUUACUCGCAGAAUAAGCACCGGCUAACUCUGUGCCAGCCGCCGCCGUAA
Molecule: ribosomal RNA, 501 nt
Filed under: uncultured bacterium
Lineage: Bacteria
Description: partial 16S ribosomal RNA
Rfam family: Bacterial small subunit ribosomal RNA
Source: RNAcentral